ACAGACUGCACUAGGGCUUUGGGGUAG
RNAcentral lists this non-coding RNA (27 nucleotides) under Cricetulus griseus (Chinese hamster). Lineage: Eukaryota; Metazoa; Chordata; Mammalia; Rodentia; Cricetidae. The record is from RNAcentral.